UUCUUCUCCCUCAGUAGGAUCUUCAACUUCUCCAUCUGACCAGUCAAUUGGACCACCGUCUCCUCCUCUUUUGCCUUCUCUAACACCCCAAAAUUUUCCCUCCUCAUUCAUGCAUUAAUUUUUAGGUCAUUUAACAUUUCAUAUUGCAUUUCAUCAUGUCAAUCAGAAUCAGAUCCAAGAAACUUUAUUUUAAAAAAAAAAUACCAAAAAAAAACCAAAAAAAGAAAAACGAAAAACGAAAAAAAAAACAAAAAAAACAAAAUAAUAAUAAUAAUAAUUAAUUAAAUAAAUAAAUAAAUAAAAAAGAAAAAAAUCUCAAAGUUGGACCUCUCUCAAAAGCCCACUAAGCUACCAAUAUUAGCCUAUAAAUACU
This 373-nucleotide long non-coding RNA is filed under the name Lathyrus oleraceus (garden pea). Its description in RNAcentral is "Pisum sativum (pea) long non-coding RNA (PSAT_LNC027197)". The record is from RNAcentral. Lineage: Eukaryota; Viridiplantae; Streptophyta; Magnoliopsida; Fabales; Fabaceae.